Molecule: long non-coding RNA, 1793 nt
Filed under: Calidris pygmaea (Spoon-billed sandpiper)
Lineage: Eukaryota; Metazoa; Chordata; Aves; Charadriiformes; Scolopacidae
Description: lncRNA (ENSCPGG00000013894.1)
Source: RNAcentral
CCGGGGCACGCUGCAUCCGCUAACAAGCCGCUACGUGUGCUAUUUAUAGCCGUCCCCACAGCGGCGGUGGUCCCCGGGGGGGGGCACGGCACGAUGGCUGAGCCCAGCCCCAGCCCUGGCACGGCGAGGGAGCCGGGAUGCUGCAGUGGGGCCACUGCGGGUCGUCCCCUUGUCCUUGAGCGCUCGGGGUCAAACCUGGCCGAGGUUUAUAGCGCUGCAAAUUGAUUAGCAUCGGCUCAGCAUCGCGCCACAAUCGAUGCUGGGGAAGGGAAAUGCAGCAGCCGCCGUCGCACAGGUACUUUCCGGGCUCUGCACACCAGGGGGCUGCGGAGGAUGGAUAGGGGAGAGCAGAGGGACAGCCCUGUCCCCUGGGGGUGUCCCCUGUCCCCAGCCCCGGGACAGAUGGCUCAGCCAAGCCAGGAGAGUGAUGUGUCCCUCAAGGCUUCCAUGGCCACGGGUCCCUGCUGUGGGGAUGGGCAUUAGCAUCCUUAAUCGGUGCCACCCGGAGUGUCGACACCCAGCGAGGUCGGAGCGGCUGGAAGUGGCAGCCGGGAAGUCAUCCUCCGUCUGGGAUCCGGAGCUGUGGAUACAGGGAGGCAGUUACGGAGAAGGAGGUGCAGCAGUGGUGAGUGGCCGGCGUGUUGGUGAGCUGCCGGGGCGCGGGGCUGGUGGGCAAGGGGCCGGGAGCCGGUGGCACACAGCAACCCCUCCGGCCGUGCAGAGCAAGGGGUGCAGGAGAUGCUCCUCUUCUGGGGUGCAGGCGUUACCUCAGAGAGGGGACACCAGAAAAUAGAGGGGGUUUUCCUGCACACCUCAUGCCCGGUGCGUGGCGGGGCUCAGCUCUGGCUGCUCUCGGCCACCCGUGUGGGAUGGUCACGCUCCUUCUCACCUCUUCCCUCCCCGUAUGGGUGGCUGUGGGGUGUGGGGACAAGGGGACUGUCCAGCUGGUGGUCGUGGCCAUCCCAGGGGGAGGCUGGUGCUGUCCCAGCGUGUCCCCGUUGGCAGCAGAGGCUGGCAGGGCCGCGGUGCCUCACCGGCAGCACGCUCUCGCCCCAUCCCUCCGCCCCACCAAACGCGACGCCCUAGAAAAGCCACCGCUUCCCUUUCAUCUUCCAAUCCCACCAGUCAAGGUUUGCUUUCUUUAUCUCUUUCUGUCAUCCUUUCCCCCCUCCUCCUUCCCUUCCCCCCCCCCCAGUCCCCGAUGAGUCAUAGCUGCAGCAGCGUGAAAAAAGAUGUCACCGGCACUUCGGUUUCCCACCUCGCCACCCCCUUCCCCUCCUCCUCCAGCCCUCGGCCCGUCGCAGCGGGCGCCUGACAGAUCUGGGCGACGCGUUGCAUAAUGCUCACACACCCUGCGGGGUCCCCGUGUGGUCCCCGUGUGGUCCCUGCACCCGUGGAGCCGGUGAGCCCCUUCCCCUGCACCCCCUUGGCUGGCACUGUGCAGCAUCCCGGUCCAGCCUGGAGCUGGGACCAAGGUCUUUGGGGGUGUUUAAGUGCCAAUGGGUUUUGGGAGAUGCCCUUGGCUGUGCCACCCUGAGGACUCAGUGACCAUGUCCCCCAGCUCCCCCGAGCAGCUUUCCCUUGGGGUCAUGCAAGAAAUUGUGGGGUCUCGGCUGCCCCAGGUGCUUGGGGCCGCCGUGCUGCUGGUUUUUACUGGGGCCCGGCUGCAGCACGUGGGUUGCAAAUUGCCUGUGGGGUUGCUGUCAAUCCUGAGUCCGAGGUGGAAAGGCUCUGGGGGAGCUUUCCCGGCCGGAGAACUGGUCGGAUGUGCCAAAUGUAGUGGGGCCACACCG